This 468-nucleotide ribosomal RNA is filed under the name uncultured bacterium. RNAcentral's name for it is "partial 16S ribosomal RNA". It matches the Rfam family "Bacterial small subunit ribosomal RNA", at positions 28 to 507 of the family's 1533-position model. The record is from RNAcentral.
GACGAACGCUGGCGGCGUGCUUAACACAUGCCAGUCGAACGGAAAGGCCCUGCUUUUGUGGGGUGCUCGAGUGGCGAACGGGUGAGUAACACGUGAGUAACCUGCCCUUGACUUUGGGAUAACUUCAGGAAACUGGGGCUCAUACCGGAUAGGAGCUCCUGCUGCAUGGUGGGGGUUGGAAAGAUUCGGCGGUUGGGGAUGGACUCGCGGCUUAUCAGCCUGUUGGUGGGGUAGGGGCUUACGAAGGCUUUGACGGGUAGCCGGCCUGAGAGGGUGACCGGGCACAUUGGGACUGAGAGACGGCCCAGACUCCUACGGGAGGCAGCAGUGGGGAAUAUUGCACAAUGGGCGGAAGUCUGAUGCAGCAACGCCGCGUGCGGGAUGACGUCCUUCGGGGUGUAAACCGCUUUCGCCUGUGACGAAGCGUGAGUGACGGUAAUGGGUAAAGAAGCACCGGCUAACUACGUG